Molecule: ribosomal RNA, 517 nt
Filed under: uncultured bacterium
Lineage: Bacteria
Description: bacterial SSU rRNA
Rfam family: Bacterial small subunit ribosomal RNA
Source: RNAcentral
AGAGUUGAUCCUGGCUCAGGAUGAACGCUAGCGACAGGCUAACACAUGCAAGUCGAGGGGCAGCACGGGAGUAGCAAUACAACUGGUGGCGACCGGCGCACGGGUGAGUAACGCGUAUGCAACCUACCUAUCAGAGGGGAAUAACCCGGCGAAAGUCGGACUAAUACCGCAUAAAACAGGGGCACCGCAUGGUGAUAUUUGUUAAAGAAAUUCGCUGAUAGAUGGGCAUGCGUUCCAUUAGGUAGUUGGUGAGGUAACGGCUCACCAAGCCGACGAUGGAUAGGGGAACUGAGAGGUUGGUCCCCCACACUGGUACUGAGACACGGACCAGACUCCUACGGGAGGCAGCAGUGAGGAAUAUUGGUCAAUGGGCGAGAGCCUGAACCAGCCAAGUCGCGUGAAGGAAGAAGGAUCUAUGGUUCGUAAACUUCUUUUGCAGGGGAAUAAAGUGCAGGACGUGUCCUGUUUUGUAUGUACCCUGAGAAUAAGGAUCGGCUAACUCCGUGCCAGCCGCCGC